GACGAACGCUGGCGGCGUGCUUAACACAUGCCAGUCGAACGGAAAGGCCCUGCUUUUGUGGGGUGCUCGAGUGGCGAACGGGUGAGUAACACGUGAGUAACCUGCCCUUGACUUUGGGAUAACUUCAGGAAACUGGGGCCAAUACCGGAUAGGAGCUCCUGCUGCAUGGUGGGGGUUGGAAAGUUUCGGCGGUUGGGGAUGGACUCGCGGCUUAUCAGCUUGUUGGUGGGGUAGUGGCUUACCAAGGCUUUGACGGGUAGCCGGCCUGAGAGGGUGACCGGCCACAUUGGGACUGAGAUACGGCCCAGACUCCUACGGGAGGCAGCAGUGGGGAAUAUUGCACAAUGGGCGGAAGCCUGAUGCAGCAACGCCGCGUGCGGGAUGACGGCCUUCGGGAUGUAAACCGCUUUCGCCUGUGACGAAGCGUGAGUGACGGUAAUGGGUAAAGAAGCACCGGCUAACUACGUG
This 468-nucleotide ribosomal RNA is filed under the name uncultured bacterium. RNAcentral describes it as "partial 16S ribosomal RNA". It matches the Rfam family "Bacterial small subunit ribosomal RNA", at positions 28 to 507 of the family's 1533-position model. The record is from RNAcentral.